UGAUUGUGAGCUAUUCUUGUGAUAUCCUCGAUUGUUCUAGUGGUGAUUCAUUUCUAUUCUCCCUAUGGAUAUUGGUUGUUGACUGAGUUGUGUGAAUGUCUUAUACAUUAUUUUACCAUUUCUGCUUGCUGUGUCUAAUGAUUUAAACUUUAUUAAUAGGAUCUGACAAAUGGAAAAGAUACUUUGGUACCUGUGUUCGAUUUUCAGCACAAAAGAUGUGUCGGUUCAAAGACAAUUAAGAGUGCUUCCUCUGGUGUGGUGAUUGUCGAUGGUACUUAUGCUCUACAUGCGAGGUUGCGGUCUUUGCUAGAUAUUCGGGUUGCUGUUGUUGGUGGUGUCCAUUUUAGCCUCCUUUCAAAGGUUCAAUAUGAUAUUGGAGACUCUCAUUCACAGGAUUCUCUCAUUGACAGCAUCCUUCCAUUGUUUAGGAGACACAUUGAGCCAGAUUUACACCAUGCACAGAUUAGAAUCAACAAUAGCUUUGUUUCAUCAUUCAGGGAAGCAAUCUACAAGAUAAAAUGCAGAAGCGAUUCUCCAGAUUCCUUUCCUGCCCAGGUUCUCCAAGGAAAUGAAGCUCAAACAGAUAACUUUAUUGAGAUGUACCUGAGACCUCCAUCAGCCAGUGAAGAAGCACGAAUAAACGAUUGGAUUAAGGUGCGUCAAUCUGGUAUUAGGUACUAUCUUUCCCUGGGUGACCAGAGGAUUGUGGACAAGCAUUUCAUUAUCCGACCCAAAGCAGAGUUUGAGGUAAGAAACAUCUCAUAUUUCAUUACACUAAAUAGUCGUCCUUUGAGUUGACUUGAUGAUUUACUAUGCUGAUGUCUUGUCCUCUUUAUCAGUUUUGUAAGGUUUCUAUUUCACUCCUAUGAACCUUCACAUGCAGCUAGAUAUAGCAUUUGAGACAGUUUUCUUCUGCAAUUUGAGAAUUGGCAUAUGUAAGAAUCAACUUACACACAUAUAUUUGAUAGUAGCCAUGAGAGUAACGUGUCCAUAGAAUAUUUCCAAACAACUGUAUCAAGGAAUUAUGAAGAUGGAAACUUUUGGUGGUACUCCGAUUAA
Syzygium oleosum is the source of this 1059-nucleotide RNA transcript. RefSeq lists it as uncharacterized. The transcript is spliced from 6 exons. Lineage: Eukaryota; Viridiplantae; Streptophyta; Magnoliopsida; Myrtales; Myrtaceae. The record is from RefSeq and is a predicted model, not a curated record.